Sceloporus undulatus (fence lizard) is the source of this 170-nucleotide small nuclear RNA. RefSeq annotates it as U1 spliceosomal RNA. The transcript has a single exon. Lineage: Eukaryota; Metazoa; Chordata; Lepidosauria; Squamata; Phrynosomatidae. The record is from RefSeq and is a predicted model, not a curated record.
UGACUGAAUAGGCAGGGGAGAUACCAUGGUCUUGAAGAUUGGUUUUCUCACGGGUUUGAUGCUUAUUCCAUUGCAACUCGAGUGUGCUGAGCAAGCCUAUGGAUUUCCCCCAAUGCUGGAAACCAACUGCUAAUUUGUGGUGGUAUGCCUUAGGGUUUCCCUAAGUCAGA